RNAcentral lists this ribosomal RNA (2923 nucleotides) under Escherichia coli. RNAcentral's name for it is "bacterial LSU rRNA". It matches the Rfam family "Bacterial large subunit ribosomal RNA". The record is from RNAcentral. Lineage: Bacteria; Pseudomonadati; Pseudomonadota; Gammaproteobacteria; Enterobacterales; Enterobacteriaceae.
GGGUUGUGAGGUUAAGCGACUAAGCGUACACGGUGGAUGCCCUGGCAGUCAGAGGCGAUGAAGGACGUGCUAAUCUGCGAUAAGCGUCGGUAAGGUGAUAUGAACCGUUAUAACCGGCGAUUUCCGAAUGGGGAAACCCAGUGUGUUUCGACACACUAUCAUUAACUGAAUCCAUAGGUUAAUGAGGCGAACCGGGGGAACUGAAACAUCUAAGUACCCGAGGAAAAGAAAUCAACCGAGAUUCCCCAGUAGCGGCGAGCGAACGGGGAGCAGCCCAGAGCCUGAAUCAGUGUGUGUGUUAGUGGAAGCGUCUGGAAAGGCGUGCGAUACAGGGUGACAGCCCCGUACACAAAAAUGCACAUGCUGUGAGCUCGAUGAGUAGGGCGGGACACGUGGUAUCCUGUCUGAAUAUGGGGGGACCAUCCUCCAAGGCUAAAUACUCCUGACUGACCGAUAGUGAACCAGUACCGUGAGGGAAAGGCGAAAAGAACCCGGCGAGGGAGUGAAAAAGAACCUGAAACCGUGUACGUACAAGCAGUGGGAGCACGCUUAGGCGUGUGACUGCGUACCUUUUGUAUAAUGGGUCAGCGACUUAUAUUCUGUAGCAAGGUUAACCGAAUAGGGGAGCCGAAGGGAAACCGAGUCUUAACUGGGCGUUAAGUUGCAGGGUAUAGACCCGAAACCCGGUGAUCUAGCCAUGGGCAGGUUGAAGGUUGGGUAACACUAACUGGAGGACCGAACCGACUAAUGUUGAAAAUUAGCGGAUGACUUGUGGCUGGGGGUGAAAGGCCAAUCAAACCGGGAGAUAGCUGGUUCUCCCCGAAAGCUAUUUAGGUAGCGCCUCGUGAAUUCAUCUCCGGGGGUAGAGCACUGUUUCGGCAAGGGGGUCAUCCCGACUUACCAACCCGAUGCAAACUGCGAAUACCGGAGAAUGUUAUCACGGGAGACACACGGCGGGUGCUAACGUCCGUCGUGAAGAGGGAAACAACCCAGACCGCCAGCUAAGGUCCCAAAGUCAUGGUUAAGUGGGAAACGAUGUGGGAAGGCCCAGACAGCCAGGAUGUUGGCUUAGAAGCAGCCAUCAUUUAAAGAAAGCGUAAUAGCUCACUGGUCGAGUCGGCCUGCGCGGAAGAUGUAACGGGGCUAAACCAUGCACCGAAGCUGCGGCAGCGACGCUGAUGCGUUGUUGGGUAGGGGAGCGUUCUGUAAGCCUGCGAAGGUGUGCUGUGAGGCAUGCUGGAGGUAUCAGAAGUGCGAAUGCUGACAUAAGUAACGAUAAAGCGGGUGAAAAGCCCGCUCGCCGGAAGACCAAGGGUUCCUGUCCAACGUUAAUCGGGGCAGGGUGAGUCGACCCCUAAGGCGAGGCCGAAAGGCGUAGUCGAUGGGAAACAGGUUAAUAUUCCUGUACUUGGUGUUACUGCGAAGGGGGGACGGAGAAGGCUAUGUUGGCCGGGCGACGGUUGUCCCGGUUUAAGCGUGUAGGCUGGUUUUCCAGGCAAAUCCGGAAAAUCAAGGCUGAGGCGUGAUGACGAGGCACUACGGUGCUGAAGCAACAAAUGCCCUGCUUCCAGGAAAAGCCUCUAAGCAUCAGGUAACAUCAAAUCGUACCCCAAACCGACACAGGUGGUCAGGUAGAGAAUACCAAGGCGCUUGAGAGAACUCGGGUGAAGGAACUAGGCAAAAUGGUGCCGUAACUUCGGGAGAAGGCACGCUGAUAUGUAGGUGAAGUCCCUCGCGGAUGGAGCUGAAAUCAGUCGAAGAUACCAGCUGGCUGCAACUGUUUAUUAAAAACACAGCACUGUGCAAACACGAAAGUGGACGUAUACGGUGUGACGCCUGCCCGGUGCCGGAAGGUUAAUUGAUGGGGUCAGCGCAAGCGAAGCUCUUGAUCGAAGCCCCGGUAAACGGCGGCCGUAACUAUAACGGUCCUAAGGUAGCGAAAUUCCUUGUCGGGUAAGUUCCGACCUGCACGAAUGGCGUAAUGAUGGCCAGGCUGUCUCCACCCGAGACUCAGUGAAAUUGAACUCGCUGUGAAGAUGCAGUGUACCCGCGGCAAGACGGAAAGACCCCGUGAACCUUUACUAUAGCUUGACACUGAACAUUGAGCCUUGAUGUGUAGGAUAGGUGGGAGGCUUUGAAGUGUGGACGCCAGUCUGCAUGGAGCCGACCUUGAAAUACCACCCUUUAAUGUUUGAUGUUCUAACGUGGACCCGUGAUCCGGGUUGCGGACAGUGUCUGGUGGGUAGUUUGACUGGGCGGUCUCCUCCUAAAGAGUAACGGAGGAGCACGAAGGUUGGCUAAUCCUGGUCGGACAUCAGGAGGUUAGUGCAAUGGCAUAAGCCAGCUUGACUGCGAGCGUGACGGCGCGAGCAGGUGCGAAAGCAGGUCAUAGUGAUCCGGUGGUUCUGAAUGGAAGGGCCAUCGCUCAACGGAUAAAAGGUACUCCGGGGAUAACAGGCUGAUACCGCCCAAGAGUUCAUAUCGACGGCGGUGUUUGGCACCUCGAUGUCGGCUCAUCACAUCCUGGGGCUGAAGUAGGUCCCAAGGGUAUGGCUGUUCGCCAUUUAAAGUGGUACGCGAGCUGGGUUUAGAACGUCGUGAGACAGUUCGGUCCCUAUCUGCCGUGGGCGCUGGAGAACUGAGGGGGGCUGCUCCUAGUACGAGAGGACCGGAGUGGACGCAUCACUGGUGUUCGGGUUGUCAUGCCAAUGGCACUGCCCGGUAGCUAAAUGCGGAAGAGAUAAGUGCUGAAAGCAUCUAAGCACGAAACUUGCCCGAGAUGAGUUCUCCCUGACUCCUUGAGAGUCCUGAAGGAACGUUGAAGACGACGACGUUGAUAGGCCGGGUGUGUAAGCGCAGCGAUGCGUUGAGCUAACCGGUACUAAUGAACCGUGAGGCUUAACCUUACAACGCCGAAGCUGUU